Cucurbita pepo subsp. pepo (vegetable marrow) is the source of this 286-nucleotide non-coding RNA. Lineage: Eukaryota; Viridiplantae; Streptophyta; Magnoliopsida; Cucurbitales; Cucurbitaceae. The record is from RefSeq and is a predicted model, not a curated record.
CCUAAAAAGCCAUCCAUAAACAAUAGUUUCUCUCUCCCUCGGUCAUCCUAUUGUUCUUCUCUGUUUUGCGUCUUCGUUAUCGUGCGCUUCUCGGACGAUCUCAACCUCACAGAGUCAUUGCCUGCCUAAUAUCGAUCUCUCAACCAUGAGUGACGGAGGAGAAAAGACCUGCCCCCUCUGUGCGGAAGAGAUGGAUCUAACUGAUCAGCAAUUGAAGGCAUGCAAAUGUGGAUAUGAGAUCUGUGUUUGGUGCUGGCAUCAUAUUAUGGACAUGGCUGAGAAGNAA